AGCAGUAGCCACGGGAAUACAGAGGGUGCGAGCGUUAAUCGGAUUUACUGGGCGUAAAGCGUGCGUAGGCGGCUUUUUAAGUCGGAUGUGAAAUCCCUGAGCUUAACUUAGGAAUUGCAUUCGAUACUGGGAAGCUAGAGUAUGGGAGAGGAUGGUAGAAUUCCAGGUGUAGCGGUGAAAUGCGUAGAGAUCUGGAGGAAUACCGAUGGCGAAGGCAGCCAUCUGGCCUAAUACUGACGCUGAGGUACGAAAGCGUGGGGAGCAAACAGGAUUAGAUACCCGGGUAGUCCCUGUCUCUUAUAC
RNAcentral lists this ribosomal RNA (303 nucleotides) under uncultured bacterium. RNAcentral describes it as "partial 16S ribosomal RNA". It matches the Rfam family "Bacterial small subunit ribosomal RNA", at positions 507 to 807 of the family's 1533-position model. The record is from RNAcentral.